GGAGCAAUCCCCUUUUGCUGGACAUGCUUACAGAACUGUAUAGCCAUGGACCUCAAGGAGAAGUGUCAGGAUGAGAUGACCUCAAGUUUGGGCCUUACCACAAAGAAAGCCCUCACAAUCCUGAGAGACCAGUUGUCAGCACUGCUGGAGGGGCAUCAGAAGGAACGGAAAAAAGUGACUUCAUGGAAGGAGGUGUGGAGGAGCAGUUUUCUGUACCAUGGUAACCGUUGCUCCUGUUUCCACUGGCCUGGUGCAUCUCUGAUGCUUCUGGCAGUGCUGUUGCUGCUGUGCUGCUAUGGGAGCCAGCCACAGGGGAGCCAAGGUGCUGAGAUAGUUAAUGCACUGGCACUCUUCCUCCUUCUCCUCUUGGAUCUCUUCAUGAUUGGGCGUCAAGAGAGGCUGAAGUGCAGAGAGGUGGAGAGGAGACUUCAGACAAUCAUUGAUAAGAUAAACGAUACACUUGGCAAAGAGGUGAAAUGGCCAGACUCCAUGUACCCUGACCUUCAUAUGCCUUAUGCCCCAUCCUGGUCCCUUCACUGGGCCUACAGAGAUGGUCAUCUUGUCAACCUGCCUGUGAGCCUGUUAGUAGAAGGAGAUGUCAUUGCUUUGAGGCCAGGCCAGGAGUCAUUUGCUUCUCUGAGAGGGAUUAAGGAUGAUGAGCACAUAGUUCUGGAGCCAGGAGACCUGUUUCCACCUUUCUCACCUCCACCCUCCCCACGGGGAGAAGUGAAGAAGGGACCUCAGAACCCUCAGCUGUAUCGUCUCUUCCGUGUCUUGAAGACCCCAAUAAUUGAUAAUGUCAGGUGGUGUCUGGAAAUGGCUUUGUCACGUCCUGUGACAGCCCUGGAUAAUGAGAGAUUCACUGUACAGUCAGUGAUGCUGAAAUACGCUGUCCCUAUUGUACUGGCUGGCUUCCUGAUCACCAAUGCUGUACGCUUCAUUUUCAAAGCUCCUGGAAUUACUUCUUGGCAGUACACUCUUCUUCAGCUACAGGUGAAUGGUGUCCUACCCAUCCUUCCAUUGCUCUUUCCUGUCCUGUGGAUUCUUGCUACAGCCUUUGGAGAAGCCAGAGUCUUGGCCCAGAUGAGCAAGGCCUCAUCCACCUCACUGCUUGCUAAGUUUUCAGAGGACACUCUCAGCAGCUACACAGAGAUGGUAUCUUCUCAGGAAAUGAUACGCUGUAUCUGGAGCCACUUCCUCUGUGUUUUAAAAGGCAAAUCCCCAACUCUGAGCUUCACUUCCAGCUUGCUCCAUAGUCUGGGAUCUGUCACUGUGCUCUGCUGUGUAGACAAGCAGGGGAUUCUUUCCUGGCCAAACCCCAGCCCAGAGACUGUUCUGUUCUUCAGUGGGAAGGUGGAACCACCUCAUGAUAGCCAUGAAGAUCUGACUGAUGAGCUCUCUACACGGUCCUUCUGCCACCCUGAGAUGGAAGAUGAGCCCCAUGAAAGAGAUGCUUUGCUCUCUGGCCCCCUGGCAGACACAAUCCACAUGACCAAUGAGCAAGAGAGAAACAACUGGUCUAGUGACCCUCCAAAGGCUCCCGAUGCCCAUGCCCACCGAAAGCCAAACAGCAGAAGCAAGCAUCCCUCUGGGUCCAAUGUGAGUUUUAGCAAGGACACAGAGGGUGGAGAGGAGGAACAUACUCAGGUUGUUGGUGACAGUGAGGUGUUGGCUUGUGAGGCUGAAGACUUUGUGUGUGACUACCACCUUGAGAUGCUUAGCCUGUCCCAAGACCAGCAGAACCCCUCCUGCAUCCAGUUUGAUGACUCCAACUGGCAUAUGCACUUGAAUUCUCUCAAGCCUCUGGGCCUGAAUGUGCUGCUCAAUCUCUGCAAUGCAAGUGUGACAGAGCGUCUGUGCCGCUUCUCUGACCACCUCUGCAACAUUGCCCUCCAAGAAACUCACAAUGCUGUGCUGCCUGUCCAUGUGCCCUGGGGCCUCUGUGAGCUUGCCAGGCUAAUAGGUUUCACACCAGGUGCUAAAGAUCUUUUCAAGCAGGAAAACUAUUUGGCCUUGUACCGCUUGCCAAGUGAUGAGAUGGUUAAAGAAACAAUCCUGGGGAAGCUUUCAUCAAUUACCAAGAGGAGACCACCCCUGAGCCACAUGAUUAACCUUUUCGUGAAGGACACCACUACCAGCACUGAGCAGAUGUUUUCUCAUGGGACAGCUGACAUCAUCCUUGAGGCCUGCACAGACUUUUGGGAUGGUACCGAUAUCUACCCCCUCUCUGGCUCUGACAGGAAGAAGGUGUUAGAUUUCUACCAGCGAGCCUGCCUCUCAGGAUACUGUUCUGCCUUUGCAUACAAGCCAAUGCAUUGUGCCUUGUCCUCCCAGCUCAAUGGCAAGUGCAUAGAACUGGUGCAGGUCCCUGGGCAGAGUGCUAUCUUCACAUGCUGUGAUCUCCCUGGGACAACCCCCAUCAAACAGAGCAGCCGGAGGAAUAGCUGGAGCUCAGAUGAAGGGAUUGGGGAAGUGAUGGAGAAGGAAGACUGUAUCCAGGCUCUGAGCGGACAGAUCUUCAUGGGAAUGGUCUCAUCCCAGUAUCAGGCCCGUCUUGACAUUGUCCGCCUCAUUGAUGGAUUGGUCAAUGCCUGCAUUCGUUUUGUCUACUUCUCCCUGGAAGAUGAGCUCAAAAGCAAGGUGUUUGCUGAAAAGAUGGGUCUUGAGACUGGCUGGAACUGCCACAUAUCUUUAACCCCUAAUGGUGACGUGCCUGGCUCAGAGAUCCCUCCCUCUAGCCCUAGCCAUGCUGGCUCUCUGCAUGAUGACCUACACCAAGUUUCUCGAGAUGAUGUGGAGGGGCUUCUGCUGAUGGAAGAGGAAGGGCACUCGGAUCUCAUCAGCUUUCAGCCAACGGACAGUGAUAUCCCCAGCUUCCUGGAGGACUGUAAUAGGGCCAAACUCCCACGGGGGAUCCACCAGGUGAGACCUCACCUGCAGAAUAUAGACAAUGUGCCUUUGCUGGUGCCCCUCUUCACAGACUGCACCCCAGAGACCAUGUGUGAGAUGAUCAAGAUCAUGCAGGAGUAUGGGGAGGUGACUUGCUGUCUGGGAAGCUCUGCUAACCUGCGGAACAGCUGCCUCUUCCUGCAAAGUGAUAUCAGUAUAGCACUGGACCCUCUCUACCCAUCUCGCUGCUCCUGGGAGACUUUUGGCUAUGCCACCAGCACCACCAUGACUCAUGUCUCUGAUGAGCUCACCCCACUGCAGCUCUCAGGUCAACUGAACAGCCUACCUUGCUCCAUGUCCUUCCGCCAAGAAGAGAGUACCAGCAUCAUCAGACUUAUAGAGCAGGCCAGGCAUGCAACAUAUGGGAUCCGCAAGUGUUUCCUCUUCCUGCUGCAGUGCCAGCUGACCUUGGUUGUCAUUCAGUUCCUCUCCUGCCUGGUGCAGCUGCCCCCCAUCCUCAGUACCACGGACAUCGUGUGGCUCUCCUGUUUCUGCUACCCACUGCUCAGCAUCUCGCUCCUGGGCAAGCCUCCCCACAGCUCCAUCAUGACCAUGGCAACAGGAAAAAACUUGACUUCCAUUCCCAAGAAGACUCAGCACUACUUCCUGUUCUGCUUCCUGCUGAAAUUCAGCCUGACCAUCUGCUCCUGCCUCAUCUGCUUUGGGUUCACACUGCAUGAGUCCUGCAAAGAAGUGAACACUACCAGCCUCAACCUCACAGCCUGCUUCUCCAUCAUGCUGCACAGCAAUGCUGAUGGUGCUCCUGACUGGUUUGGGACAUUUUCCAAUGCUCUUCUUGUAGCCCAGAAGCUCACAGCUGGCCUGAUAGUUUUACACACAGUGUUCAUAUCCAUCACCCACGUCCAUCGCACCAAGCCGUUGUGGAAGAAGAGCCCCCUCUCCAACCGGUGGUGGACGCUCACUGUGGCUGUUGUAUUGCUGGGGCAAGUGGCGCAGACUGUGCUGGACCUGAAACUCUGGGAAAACCUCAAUUCUUCAUUGAACUUUAACCACGUUUCCAUCUCCCCGGUCUCAUGGCUCCUGGGUUUUCUUUCCUUGGUCCUUGUGGUUAUCAUCAAUGAAAUUGUCAAGCUGCAUGAAAUCAGGGUUCGGGUCCGUUACCAAAAGAGGCAGAAGUUGCAGUUUGAAACAAAGCUGGGGAUGAAUUCGCCAUUUUAAACACUCCCAGAUCAAGUCCCCUAGAGCCAAGGCCACACAGCCACAUCCUGCACUGGGAGAGUGGCUACACUGAAGGCUCAGGGAGUUUUCCCUCACACAUGCAAACCAGACAGCCUCCUUGCAAAACUACAUCAGCACCUUCCAGGGGGCCCCAGGCAGGGCACUGCUAUCAGGAUCCCCUAGCAGGUUUUUGUUAGUAUCAUGGUGAUGCUGAAAUGAAGUGACUCCUUGCCUCUGUGUGAGCAGAUGGGUUUCCUGGACCUGGCAGGAGAAUCUGGGGCCAGCAGGGGAGAUAUAGGGCUGCUGAAGCAAGAGAUCGCUAUUGAAACCCGUUUUGUUUUUCCAUCUCUGCGUGCUCUCCUGGAUGAUGCGUGUGUGCAUGCCUGUGCGUGCCCUCACCCACCUCCCUGUCCCUGUGUCCUGGGGCAAAGGAGCCAUCUCUUGCAGCUCCCAAGUGCUGGGUGCCAGGUGAGGACUAGAGCUCACAUCCCCAAGGGGACACUGGGAAGGGUCUCUGGCAGGGUGCUGGGAAAGCCCCUGCAAUGGCCAGGCUGUGCCAGGCCUGCCCUCUAGCGUUGUUGCUCUAGCCAUAUGCCGGCUGUUGAGUGUUUUAAGAGAAGAGAGGUAAGACAGGACUUUAAGAAUAGCUGUCUGCAUUUGACCCUAGUGAUCUGGUGCAGAGGGAGUCAGGAGGGCAGCUCUGCCUGCCUGCAGGGAGUCAGCAUGGCUCAGCUUUCUUCAGCCCUGUUGAACCAGCUCUUACCUGCUUUAACAACCCCCAGAGAGGUUUAUAACCAUCCUCAUUUUUGUGAUACGAAUUGCUGUUCUGCUUCAGUAAAAUGCCUGCUUGAGAGCACCAUAGCUAGAGAUAAAACCUGAGACCUGCCUAUCCUGCCAUGGAGGGAAGGGGACAUCUUAUCAGGCAGGAUAUCUGCAUCUUGCUGUUGUGACUAACACGGAGCUGGUGGGCGGCUCCUUUCCCAGUCCUGGGAUUGUGCUGCAUCCAGUACUGGCUCUCCAAGGCACAGGGAAACCCCCUAUAUCAUGUCUUUCUGUGAUAGUGUUUGGAAGUCUCUCCCCUCCAUGCUGCUGCCCUCACAUCUGUUCCCUGUUUUUCUGGAGGUCUCUUCUUCAUUUGGCAGGGGGAAACCUUCCCCUGAGGGCUGCUGCAAACCAUGAUUUGCCCCAAUGUGGCACACAUGCUCUUGGGCUCUGAACAGACCCCAGCUGUACUGGGAACACUGGUGCUGUUGUGGGCUGGCAGUCAAGGAGCACACACGCUUGGCUACUGGAAUAUGUGCAGCUCACAGAGAUGUUGACUCCCUUCCUAGUUCUAAAAACUGACUAAAGCUGGUAAGUCCUGGCACUGGUUUUGCUCCCAAUAUUAACACUACAAUAUACAGCUGUUACUUCCCCUUUGGUACCCAAGACUAACAAAUGGCUGCUGGUCCUUCCCUAGCAGGCAGGGAGCUGGCUGGGAACCCCCAAGCUCUGCCCUGCGGCUCCGCCUUGUCUUCCUUACAUUUCAGCAUGACCAGAGAGCAUGCACACUACCGCGUGUCUCUAAGCAAUACCCUUCUCCCUGCUGUGGUUCCGGCAGGAGGG
This is an RNA transcript of Haliaeetus leucocephalus (bald eagle), 5733 nucleotides long. It is a transcript of the gene named KIAA0195 ortholog, with no coding region annotated. The transcript is spliced from 32 exons. The record is from RefSeq and is a predicted model, not a curated record. NCBI's taxonomy places the organism in Eukaryota, Metazoa, Chordata, Aves, Accipitriformes, Accipitridae.